AUGUCUACUACAGUGUACGUAGAAAAUUUAAGAAAAGGAAACAGAAGCAAUGAGUGGAUUAAAGUUAUUGAGAUGAUUCAUCCGAUCAGAAAGAACCUAGAAACACUCAUCCAUGGAACUUAUUAUUCUGCCCUCCUUUCAAGGGCCACCAAAAAAAUAUUGAAUAGAGUUUUGAUUUCAAUCUCACGUUUCACGUUUCAAAAAUAA
Molecule: non-coding RNA, 207 nt
Organism: Vicia faba (fava bean)
Lineage: Eukaryota; Viridiplantae; Streptophyta; Magnoliopsida; Fabales; Fabaceae
Source: the annotation of a GenBank genome assembly